UACAAAUAAAGGUCUAAAAAAAAAAUACAACACUGUCUCUGGAAAUACAUUAAAGAAACAUGAAUAGCAGAUAGAAAGAGACGCCAAGGCCUGCGGACGCCUGCAGGACAACCUCGAGUCGCUUGAUGAACAAAAAUAACAAUCUCACUGCGGUCCGAAGUCUACAGCACUGGGAUCUGCACAAAAGAGUGCAAAGUGUAGUAUCAGCACAACCGACCCCAUGUGCUGGUAAGUGCCUAGCCUAACCUCGGCGAAGUAGUGAUGAGGCUAGGACCAGACUACCAAAUAAACGUGUGCAGUUAAAUCAUAUACAGCAGAAAUAGAAGCAGAUAAUUACGACUAAAGUUGGGCGGGGGAAACAUGUUGCGGGGAGUAACAGGUAACAACAAUAGAUAAUUAUAAGGAAUGCUAUAAAUCAAUUACCAGCAAAGAUAAGGAAAUAAGAAGAACAAGUACACAUGUAAUACCGUUGCAUGCGUGCAACCCGAUCCCAUCUCAUAUAGUACCGUUACAGGCGUGCAACCCGCUCCCAUUUUAUAUUGUACCGUUGCAGGCGUGCAACCCGCUCCCAUUUCAUAUAUUACCGUUGCAGGCAUGCAAUCCCAUUUCAUAUAUUUACCGUUGCAGGCGUGCAACCCGUUCCCAUUUCAUAUAUUUACCGUUGCAGGCAUGCAACCCGCUCCCAUUUCAUAUAUUUACCAUUGCAGGCAUGCAACCCGCUCCCAUUUCAUAUAUUUACCGUUGCAGGCGUGUAACCCGCUCCCAUUUCAUAUAUUUCCGUUGCAGGCAUGCAACCCACUCCCAUUUCAUAUGUUACUGUUUCAGGCGUGCAACUCGUUCCCUUUUCAUUUAUCAAUACCAAUCAUAACAGAAUCCCGGCAAGGGAACAAUGAUAUAACAACAAUAUCCCGGCAAGGGAAUAAUACUAUAACAAUAACAUCCCGGUAAGGGAACAAUAAUAUUCUCGGCAAGGGAACAACAAUAUGACAACAACGUCUCGGCAAGGGAACAAUAAUGAUAAUCCUCAUAUGAAGCACAAUAAACCUCAACGGAAUCACAACAAUUACAGUACAAGACUCACGGGCAUGCUUGACACCGACGUAUAGAUACUCGUCACCAUGCCUAUACGUCGUACUCCACAAUUAGCACAUAGCAAAUAAGACACAACUCCUAAUCCCUCAAGCUAAGGUUAGACCAAACACUUACCUCGAUGCCACGAACACAAUUCAAGCCUCAACUAUCGCUUUACCUCUUGAUUCCACCACCAACUCUCUUGUAUCUAGCCACAAGUUACUUAAUAAUAUUAAUAAGUGCUAAAUGAAUCAUUUCUAAUGCAUGGAAAUAAGUUUUCUAAAGUUUUUUCCAAAAAGUCGAAAAUCGCCUCCGGGACCACAUGGUCAAAACCCGAGGUUCGAACCAAAACCCGAUUACCCAUUCCCCCACGAACCCAAAUAUAUAAUUUGUUUUGAAAUUGACCUCAAAUCGAGGUCCAAAUCCCCAAAAUUUGAAAAACCUAGGUUCUACCCAAAACACCCAAUUUUCCCCAUGAAAACCAUUGAUUCUAGGAUGAAAUCUUGUAAAAAGAAGUUAAGGGGUAAAGAAAAUGAGUUAGAAAUCACUUACUAAUGUUUUGG
RNAcentral lists this long non-coding RNA (1634 nucleotides) under Nicotiana tabacum (common tobacco). Its description in RNAcentral is "long non-coding RNA (NTAB_LNC008103)". The record is from RNAcentral. Lineage: Eukaryota; Viridiplantae; Streptophyta; Magnoliopsida; Solanales; Solanaceae.